CUAGCAGUAUCAGAGUUUGAUCCUGGCUCAGAUUGAACGCUGGCGGCAGGCCUAACACAUGCAAGUCGAGCGGAUGACGGGAGCUUGCUCCUUGAUUCAGCGGCGGACGGGUGAGUAAUGCCUAGGAAUCUGCCUGGUAGUGGGGGACAACGUUUCGAAAGGAACGCUAAUACCGCAUACGUCCUACGGGAGAAAGCAGGGGACCUUCGGGCCUUGCGCUAUCAGAUGAGCCUAGGUCGGAUUAGCUAGUUGGUGGGGUAAUGGCUCACCAAGGCGACGAUCCGUAACUGGUCUGAGAGGAUGAUCAGUCACACUGGAACUGAGACACGGUCCAG
This 335-nucleotide ribosomal RNA is filed under the name uncultured bacterium. Its description in RNAcentral is "bacterial SSU rRNA". It matches the Rfam family "Bacterial small subunit ribosomal RNA", at positions 1 to 334 of the family's 1533-position model. The record is from RNAcentral.